This 41-nucleotide small RNA is filed under the name Oryza sativa Japonica Group (Japanese rice). RNAcentral describes it as "sRNA Os09g0347101". The record is from RNAcentral. Lineage: Eukaryota; Viridiplantae; Streptophyta; Magnoliopsida; Poales; Poaceae.
AAGAUCUGAAGGUCGCGUGUUCGAUCCACGCUCACCGCACC